Electrophorus electricus (electric eel) is the source of this 4493-nucleotide non-coding RNA. The record is from RefSeq and is a predicted model, not a curated record. NCBI's taxonomy places the organism in Eukaryota, Metazoa, Chordata, Actinopteri, Gymnotiformes, Gymnotidae.
ACAGCGAUAGAUAUAACUGUGGCUAGUGUUUCUGAGAAAUCCUUCGGUUUGAGAGGGUGCGUCUGUUUCUCUGGUGUUUUCUAUGUUGACCAAAACGCGCAAGACUAGUUGACUUAUAGCCUGCGAGUGAUUCUGACAUGGGACUUCACGGUUUUCUGUAUAUUCCCAGUAUAAUUGGUGAGAGUUUGAUGCAUCACACCACUUUUAUAAGUGUGUGUGUGGGCAGUUGGUGACUUGUACAGAUAUGGUUAGUGUCCGUCGUUCGUAGGUUACAUUAGAGCUGCAUUGGUCCUUUACGCUUGUCUUCAAUGACCCAGCAGUUUUUGUUUCUGUAUAUACCUCAUCAGUCUUAUUAGAUGGUAGGUGCUAAGAGUGAACAUCUAAGCUUAUGUUUUAUUGUUUUAUUUAAAACAGAAACACUGCACAUUUUCAGUUUGUGCACGAAGGUGUGUUUAGAGUUUCAUUAUUGUGUGUCAGGCCUAGAUGCUUGGGUAGCCAGGCAACUCAAGCAGACCUCGCGAUCUGGAGCUUGGCUGGAUGUGGUUGUGGACAACUUUGGACCAAGCUAUAUGCGGCAAAAUUAGAUCAUCCCCUAUAUUUUUGAUGCCUGACACUAAGGUUGUGGGCCCCUGUGAGCUGGUUGGUCUCUUCAAUAGAAUGGUGCAUAUUUGUUUGCAACCACAACGCUAGGGGUCCACAGUGGAAGAAUUCUUUUAUGGAGAGUCCAAUCUGGGUGCAGGCAGUCAUGGCAAAAGGAUGUGUUGGCAGUAGGAAGUUUGCAUGGCCUGCCUGUGUGGCUGUAUGCCAGCAUCGUGUGCUCCUGAGGCUGCUGCCCGUGCCCAGCUGGCUGCACACUGGGCGUACUCGUGCUGAGCUGCUGAGAUAUACAAUGUACAAGAGACCCUACUGAGACAAAAAUAGUUGUGGUUACACACAUCAGAUGCCUGAACCCAAGGUGAAGAUAUCUCUGAGCAAAGGCUUAUUGUGGCACAAGCGAUGAUGAAUUCAUGACCAUCCAAGUUAAGUGGAAUAAAGAAGGUUAAUUUCUGUGUUUCGUACUGAAGUUGUUUAGGUGCCAUCACAAUGCCAGAUGUACUCAAGGGAAAAAGUACUAGCACUUCGGCUCAGUGUUGGGGAAGCUUCUCCAAACGUGUAGUUGCUAAGAUACCAGCUGCUCGUUGAUGGUUGUAAUUAUGCUACAGCAGCACUACUUUGGACAGAGUUAAUAUUUUGAUUAAAAUAAUAAUAAUAAUUAAUAGAUAAACACUAAGUGAAAGAAUUAAUGAGUUAGCAAACCAUAAAACAUUAUAACUGAAUAUAAUAGAACUAUAACUUAUUUUAAACCAGAAAGAACGUAGAAAGUAUCUUUGUCGAACCUAUUUUGCCACAUGGCUGAAAGAGUGAGGUGAACCUCUUUAAAAAUUAUUCUGAAAAUAAACCACUACAAACUUUUCGGACCUGUAGCUGAACUAGUAGCAUAGUAAGGCAGCUUGUCCCCAACACAGCUUAGGCUGUAACCUGAAUGUGGCAGUGUGUGUAUACCGUGCAAGAAUGGCGAUUUUCAUGGACACCCAAUUAACAUAAUUCAAAAAAGGCUACUCUCCCUGUCUGUAGACACUGGUCUUAUUUUCUUGCAGAAUCAUUACACAUCCAGUGUGCAGUCUGGUCCCAGCAGAGUCUGGGAUGAUUUUUUAAUCCUCCCCAAAGCCUAUAAUCAAGACCAUUUUGAAGUCUCAUCAGUACUUUGAAAAAUUUUGCAUUUCAAACUGAGACACUUUCAUUCAUUCAUUCAUUCACUGAGUCUUUUACAUGGCAAUUCAGUUAAACAUUCAGGAGUCCCUGGUCCACCAGAACUUUCAUUCACCAGCCAUUCAUUCAUUGUGGUUUCACCUUUUUCAGAGGCACAAAGUUCCAGGGAAAUUUGAUUACUGUUAGUGUAACCAUAGAUUGUUCACUCUAUGUGAACACUCUCUGGAAUUACAAUCAUUUGCAGGUAUGCAUCUGUGUGUGUGUGUAUAAAAUGUUAUUACUCAAACAUGCAACAAGAGGUGUCCUCUAAAAGAGAAAUAGCAGAAUUAAUGCAGAAGCACCUUUGGGGUGGGAACUACAGCCCCACUAAAAUGAGACGAGGAUCCCUCUGGAUGUUUCAUUCUCAAAAUCUCCAUCGCUCAUCAUCAUCAUUACGCACAAUUCAAAUGAAUAACAGUUUAGGUUCACCAAAGAGCCCUUAACCUUCACAAGAAAGAUUUCAGAGCUGCAUGUCAAAUUAGGAGCGUCAUUAAAAAAAAAAGAGAAGUUUACUUGACUAUAUUGUUCUUUUUCUUUUCCUUGUAUAGGGACCAAUACACCAACAAAUAUUACAAAGGUUGGAACCGCAAAUGCAUUCUUAAAACUGCAAAAUAAAACCUCCAAGAAUUUGACUUCUAGCUUCUGUUACACAAUCUGACAACUUGCUGCAGAUGACCACUACAAUUUAACCGCAUUACUACAAAUCAUGGAAACACGUUUUAAGAUCACAGCUUGUUUUAUUCAUAGAACUUAAUAUUCCUGUCAUUUAUCUAGUUUGAGUGAACGAGGCAGUCUCUUCUCCCAUCUCGAUUCCGAUUCAGGCCGUCUGAUUGGAAAAGACAAGGUUGUAAUUAGUCUUUAACAUUAAAGGGUUUUUCAGAAAUGUGGACAACUUCAGUAUCCUCACAUGGUCCAGGUCAGCCUGGGUCUUAUUUGAGCCAGAACUGGGCUAGCCCAGUUAGUGUUGCAUUUGAAUCCCUUGUACUGACAAUAGGGGUUAGUCCAGAACAAGCUAUUGCAAAAGGCCUCCAACGCAGUGUGAUAGCAGGUGAGUGUCCUGUUAGGCUCUGGCUAGGACAUUAGCUAACGCUGGGGUCACGGAGGACACUCCUGACCUCUGUUGUCAUUAAACUUCGAUUAAACUUACAGUCCAGUAGAAAAGACCACAUGUCUGAAUAUGCCAUUUUGGAACUCUGAAGAAUAUAAGAAUACUGCCUCUGUUAGACGUUUUAUGUUUUUGUGUAAACAUGCUUUUACUGCAAAACCUUGCGAAGAGCCUUUGUAUUUAUUUGUGGAUUUCAUAAUGGGUGGAGAGAGGUCUUCACUUAUAAAUGGAAGUGCAGGUGACAAACUGAAUAGCCAAGAGUACAUUGCAGUCUGCUCAAACUCUACAGGAGACCUGUAGGCGGUGCUCAGAGCUUCCCCAACAUCCCCCUCCACCCCCAUAACAGAAUUGGUCCCUCUGUAGUGGAGGCCUCUUCACGAAGCCAGCUGCAAUGAUCAGCUCUUUUCUGUGGGUCUCCUGCCAGCUCUUAGAAGGUCAGAGUUUUUCCAUCAUUGCAAGUCUGGAUAGAGUUUGAAAGGUCAAUGAUGAAACACAGAGCUGGAGACAUAACAUAACAGUAACAUCAUCAUCAUCGUGUAUGUGUGUGUGUGUCUCAGUCUUGUUUGACUGAGCAAUGGUCAGCGUGGCAACGUCAGUCCUGUGUGUCUCUUCACUCACAGCAGUAGCCACAUCUCACCCCCAGUUUUAUCAGAAGUGGUUUUGGCUCACCACUUUCUAUGUUAAACCUAAAGGUUAUAGCACAGUUUGCAUAUAAAUUAUUGGCAUUUUAAAUUAAUUCACGUUGGUACUAAUGUAGAAUAUAUAUAUUUUUAAAAAGCAAUCAGAAAACAAACUGCAUCUAGAGCAAUAGUAAAUCUAUUUGUCAAUUAGUUUUAUCAUGGCAUGAGAGGCAAAAGACACUCAGAAAUGGCCUGAUCAGUAACAGAGCCCUCCUCUUACUCGAACAUACUGGUAAACCUUAACGUAGGACUGUGCGUCACACGGAGCUGCAUACCAGCGACAUUCAUAAGAACAGAAACGCUAGUGUGUUUGUUCUUCACUUGUCUCAGGGGCGAAGGCUUGCAUCAGUUGCCACUACCUAGACUGCUUGAGGUAGCGCAGGGAGCCCGCUUCAGUGAUGAGUGGUGGAGCAACGCUUUAGACACCCAAAAAAAAUUAGAAGGAAGGGGAUUGGGGAUGGGGGGAUAAAACAAAAACCCCAAGCAAACUUAACAGGCAUUUUAGAUUUCAAUGGAUAAAACGAGAUCACAAUGUCUCUGUAGGGUUUUUAGCCCAGUUUUCUCUCUUCUGUAGGAAAUCAGAAAGUCUGAUCUUUUGAAGUCUGGAGAUCGUCUGUAGGAAAGUGGGCCAUGGUGCCAUUGGAAGGCGGCUUUAUCCCACACGUGAGAGAGAGAGAGAGAGAGAGAGAGAGAGAGACGCCACGGCAUUCUCCCAGGGUUCAGGACUGUGAACAGGGAUAAAGGGUCUCCUGAGCCAAGUGACCAUGAUGCUCAAUCCCUUCUGUCACACGGGAUCAGGAAUGUGUAUGGACUUGAGUGUGUGCGCGCGUGGAGUGAGGAGAAUGCACUCCUGUCGUUAGCCCAUACACGAGCGUCCUGCGGCGAGACUGUGCGACAGCAGGAAGGCCUGCACCACCUCA